RNAcentral lists this transfer RNA (83 nucleotides) under Mumia zhuanghuii. Its description in RNAcentral is "tRNA-Leu". It matches the Rfam family "tRNA". From Rfam's summary of the family: Transfer RNA (tRNA) molecules are approximately 80 nucleotides in length. Their secondary structure includes four short double-helical elements and three loops (D, anti-codon, and T loops). RNAcentral also lists the same sequence under 1 other name. The record is from RNAcentral. Lineage: Bacteria; Bacillati; Actinomycetota; Actinomycetes; Propionibacteriales; Nocardioidaceae.
GCCGGGUUGGCGGAAUGGUAGACGCGGUGGUCUCAAAAACCACUGUCCGAAAGGAUGUGCGGGUUCGAGUCCCGCACCCGGCA